RNAcentral lists this ribosomal RNA (469 nucleotides) under Bacillus pumilus. Its description in RNAcentral is "bacterial SSU rRNA". It matches the Rfam family "Bacterial small subunit ribosomal RNA", at positions 137 to 592 of the family's 1533-position model. Lineage: Bacteria; Bacillati; Bacillota; Bacilli; Caryophanales; Bacillaceae. The record is from RNAcentral.
ACUGGGAUAACUCCGGGAAACCGGAGCAUUUACCGGAUAGUUCCUUGAACCGCAUGGUUCAAGGAUGAAAGACGGUUUCGGCUGUCACUUACAGAUGGACCCGCGGGCCAUUAGCUAGUUGGUGAGGUAACGGCUCACCAAGGCGACGAUGCGUAGCCGACCUGAGAGGGCGAUCGGCCACACUGGGACUGAGACACGGCCCAGACUCCUACGGGAGGCAGCAGUAGGGAAUCUUCCGCAAUGGACGAAAGUCUGACGGAGCAACGCCGCGUGAGUGAUGAAGGGUUUCGGAUCGUAAAGCUCUGUUGUUAGGGAAGAACAAGUGCAAGAGUAACCGCUUGCACCUUGACGGUACCUAACCAGAAAGCCACGGCUAACUACGUGCCAGCAGCCGCGGUAAGCAUUAGGUGGCAAGCGUUGUCCGGAAUUAUUGGGCGUAAAGGGCUCGCAGGCGGUUUCUUAAGUCUGA